This 770-nucleotide ribosomal RNA is filed under the name Halorubrum sp. RNAcentral's name for it is "bacterial SSU rRNA". It matches the Rfam family "Archaeal small subunit ribosomal RNA", at positions 57 to 828 of the family's 1478-position model. Lineage: Archaea; Methanobacteriati; Methanobacteriota; Halobacteria; Halobacteriales; Haloferacaceae. The record is from RNAcentral.
GUCGCACGAGUUCAGACUCGUGGCGAAUAGCUCAGUAACACGUGGCCAAACUACCCUUCGGAGCUCCAUACCCUCGGGAAACUGAGGCUAAUAGAGCAUACCACAAUCCAGCUGGAAUGAGGAUUGUGCCAAACGCUCCGGCGCCGAAGGAUGUGGCUGCGGCCGAUUAGGUAGACGGUGGGGUAACGGCCCACCGUGCCAAUAAUCGGUACGGGUCAUGAGAGUGAGAACCCGGAGACGGAAUCUGAGACAAGAUUCCGGGCCCUACGGGGCGCAGCAGGCGCGAAACCUUUACACUGCACGCCAGUGCGAUAAGGGGAUCCCAAGUGCGCAGGCAUAGAGCCUGCGCUUUUGUACACCGUAGGGAGGUGUACGAAUAAGGGCUGGGCAAGACCGGUGCCAGCCGCCGCGGUAAUACCGGCAGCCCGAGUGAUGGCCGAUCUUAUUGGGCCUAAAGCGUCCGUAGCUGGCCGCACAAGUCCAUCGGAAAAUCCACCCGCCCAACGGGUGGGCGUCCGGUGGAAACUGUGUGGCUUGGGACCGGAAGGCGCGACGGGUACGUCCGGGGUAGGAGUGAAAUCCCGUAAUCCUGGACGGACCGCCGAUGGCGAAAGCACGUCGCGAGGACGGAUCCGACAGUGAGGGACGAAAGCCAGGGUCUCGAACCGGAUUAGAUACCCGGGUAGUCCUGGCCGUAAACAAUGUCUGUUAGGUGUGGCUCCCACUACGAGUGGGUGCUGUGCCGUAGGGAAGCCGCUAAACAGACCGCC